RNAcentral lists this long non-coding RNA (571 nucleotides) under Meriones unguiculatus (Mongolian gerbil). Its description in RNAcentral is "lncRNA (ENSMUGG00000015021.1)". The record is from RNAcentral. Lineage: Eukaryota; Metazoa; Chordata; Mammalia; Rodentia; Muridae.
UUCUCUUCCUCCUCCUCCUUCUUCACUUCUCCCUCUACCUCCUCCUCUUCCUCCUACUCCUUCUUCUCCUCCUUCUCCUCUUCCUUCUUUUUCUCCUCCUUCUCCUAUUUCUCCUCCUCCUCCUCCUCCUCCUUCUCCUCCUCCUCCUCCUCUUUCUCACUUCCCCCCCCUCUUCUUUCUUCUUAGGACACACACAAGUGUCCAGGUUGCCAGGAGCUGGCAUGCAGCGACAGCCUCUCAGAUCCAAGGAACGCGUGAGUUUCAUGUGAUUGAUGGCUGUUGACUGACAGUGGGUUUUGUGGAAUAAUGAGAAGAGUCCCAGUCGGCAAAGGGCUCCAAGAACAAAUGAGCGGUCCGUGCCGUGAACGAGGAGGUUCUCUGUGCAGAGGAGGUGCUGCCUUGGAGGCGUCCCCAGAGCGUGCACCAUCUUCUGAACACCAGCAAGGACAGGGUGGGACACUGAGUCCCUUCCUGUGAAGGAUUUCCCACUGUGGCUUCUGUUUGUUUGAUUGAUGAUUGAUUGUUUCAUUGGUUGGGUUUGGGUUUUUUUUGUGUUGUUUAUCGAGACAGG